RNA transcript from Acanthopagrus latus (yellowfin seabream), 1657 nucleotides. RefSeq lists it as uncharacterized. The record is from RefSeq and is a predicted model, not a curated record. The transcript has 8 exons. NCBI's taxonomy places the organism in Eukaryota, Metazoa, Chordata, Actinopteri, Spariformes, Sparidae.
AAGUGCUCAUUGUACAUGUGUGAAGAGAAGUACAGCAGAGAUUUGGACCAAUACUAUGACGCUUGGUCCAUUUUCUCUUCUAUCUAUAUGAAGUGAUGUUAACACAAAGAUUGGUUUCUGAAUGUGUGAGCGUUUUAAAUUGUCUUUGUUGAUGUUUUCUGUUUCUAUUGCACUUUGUGUGUUUAUGGAGCUAAACGACCUGCAACUCCAACGUUGUCCGCCUCGCGGCGUGUCGCUGUUCCCCCUGGAGCUCUUCUGCCGGACGACGAGCGAGGAAGAAGUUAGUCGCCAUCUUGGAUCAUCGGCAAACUUAACAUAAUUACUGACUGAAGUGAGUUUGUAAGAUGUCUGGCUGCGCUCCAACGGUGUUUUCGUGCUUUACACACACCUUUCCUUUAGGUUUCAUGUCCCAGACUAUCACUGAAAAUGUUAUCUGCCCUCUGGUGCGUUGAUUUAGUUUAACGUCCUUCCAUUAAGCAUCUUUAAUUCUUCUUGUUGAUGGCUGUUAGUCAAGUGACAGAGCUCUGAAUGACUUGUCUAAUAAUUUUCAAGGUGCUCAAAUAUCAUUCGGUAGUACAGAAGUUGAUAUCAGUUAAACUCUGAACAUAGCAAACAUAGCAUUUUGAAUCAGGUUAUCAGUAACACCUGCAAUACAACACUCAAAGAAAAAAAAACAAAGAGCUAGCUUGUGUGACUUCAACUCUCCGUUUAGCUACAGGUUUGGCUGAGUGGAUUUUCAUCAAGGAGCACUUCUCUCUGCUGGAAAGAUGCCAGUGAAAUUUCGCAAGACAGAUCCUUGGACCUUUCUGCGCAGACAUCGACCCUGAAUAAAGGCGUUGUGAACUUGAGGAUGAUAAAGAGAAACGGACAGCAAUGGGGCUUCCUUUGGGCCAGAACCCUGCACAUUAAGACCAGCGUAUCGCGGCGCACGGAGGAAGGCUGGAGUGAGAGGGGGAGGAGUGAGGGAUGGCUGAUGGGACAGGAUUGGUGGCAACGGAGGGGAGGAGUACGUCAGUGUUUGCCCAUCAGCACAUCUUUGCUGACAGCCGUCGGCCUGUCUGUCAGCAGUGGCCAGUGGCCUGGACACUGUCACCAAUACCGAAGGGCCACCGCCAGACCCGCGUGAGCCUCCCAAGGUUCACUGCACAAAUCCCCUUCUGUGCCAACCAGUCCGUUGAUACACACCAACUAUCUGCCCCGCCGCUCUCUGUGUGGUCCUCAUCUGUGCUUUGACAAAGAGAAAGAGGAAACGGCUUUGCCGUUUGGCACCCACUGGCUUUCCUACUGAAAACGGCAGUGGACAAAAUAAAGGACAUAACCUGGGUGCAGCGAGCAGAUAGCAUUCAUCACAACCAAUCAGAAGAGCUGGUUGAGUUUGUUAUUGGAGCUCUGAUUUUGGACCAGGGGUGCUCACACACUCAGCGUUUGUAUACUGCAGAUGGAGAUCCUGAGUUUCCCUGUGCAGGCCGGGAGCCAGGCAGGGCUGAGCCACCGGGAGCAGACAGCAGCCGAUUGAGAAUGUGAGGAAACAGAUCAGUCUGCCUGGCUACAAGCCCCACCGUAGUUUGGUAUGUGAGUGAUGAUUGGUGGAUUUUGUGCGUGGGACAUGGUCAUAUACACACUAGGGUUGCAGCGGUAUGUUGGUUUUCAGGUAUAC